Molecule: non-coding RNA, 30 nt
Filed under: Rattus norvegicus (Norway rat)
Lineage: Eukaryota; Metazoa; Chordata; Mammalia; Rodentia; Muridae
Source: RNAcentral
UGAAAAUAGAGGUGAUCUAGCCUGUGAGUC